GACGAACGCUGGCGGCGUGCCUAAUACAUGCAAGUUGAGCGCUGAAGGUUGGUACUUGUACCAACUGGAUGAGCAGCGAACGGGUGAGUAACGCGUGGGGAAUCUGCCUUUGAGCGGGGGACAACAUUUGGAAACGAAUGCUAAUACCGCAUAAAAACUUUAAACACAAGUUUUAAGUUUGAAAGAUGCAAUUGCAUCACUCAAAGAUGAUCCCGCGUUGUAUUAGCUAGUUGGUGAGGUAAAGGCUCACCAAGGCGAUGAUACAUAGCCGACCUGAGAGGGUGAUCGGCCACAUUGGGACUGAGACACCGCCCAAACUCCUACGGGAGGCAGCAGUAGGGAAUCUUCGGCAAUGGACGAAAGUCUGACCGAGCAACGCCGCGUGAGUGAAGAAGGUUUUCGGAUCGUAAAACUCUGUUGGUAGAGAAGAACGUUGGUGAGAGUGGAAAGCUCAUCAAGUGACGGUAACUACCCAGAAAGGGACGGCUAACUACGUG
RNAcentral lists this ribosomal RNA (497 nucleotides) under uncultured bacterium. Its description in RNAcentral is "partial 16S ribosomal RNA". It matches the Rfam family "Bacterial small subunit ribosomal RNA", at positions 28 to 507 of the family's 1533-position model. The record is from RNAcentral.